This 67-nucleotide transfer RNA is filed under the name Euseius nicholsi. RNAcentral describes it as "tRNA-Ala". The record is from RNAcentral. Lineage: Eukaryota; Metazoa; Arthropoda; Arachnida; Mesostigmata; Phytoseiidae.
AGAUUUAUAAUUAAAAUUAAAUAAUAUUUGGUCUGCAUCCAAAAUUAGCUCUAAUUAGCUAAAUCUA